Molecule: ribosomal RNA, 243 nt
Filed under: uncultured bacterium
Lineage: Bacteria
Description: partial 16S ribosomal RNA
Rfam family: Bacterial small subunit ribosomal RNA
Source: RNAcentral
UAGGGAACCUGCCCAUGCGGCCGGGACAACUUCCGGAAACGGAUGCUGAUACCGGAUAAGGAAAGCGAAGGCAUCUUUGCUUUGUUAAAGGAGCUGCAAGGCUCCGCGCAUGGAUGGACCUGCGGUGCAUUAGCCGGUUGGUGAGGUAAAGGCUCACCAAGGCGACGAUGCAUAGCCGGCCUGAGAGGGCGAACGGCCACACUGGGACUGAGACACGGCCCAGACUCCUACGGGAGGCAGCAG